GACGAACGCUAGCGGCGUGCCUAAGGUAUGCAAGUCGAGCGGGAGGCUUCGGCCUCCAGCGGCAAACGGUUGAGUAACACGUAGACAACCUGCCCGUAAGACGGGGAUAACUCGGGGAAACUCGGGCUAAUACCGGAUGUGGAAGCGGGGGGCAUCCCCCGUUCUCUAAACGAGCAAUCGGCUUACGGAUGGGUCUGCGGCCUAUCAGCUAGCUGGUGGGGUAACGGCCUACCAGGGCUUCGACGGGUAGCUGGUCUGAGAGGAUGACCAGCCAGACGGGGACUGAGACACGGCCCCGACUCCUUCGGGAGGCAGCAAUGAGGGAUAUUGCGCAAUGGGGGAAACCCUGACGCAGCGACGCCGCGUGGGUGAUGAAGUCCUUCGGGAUGUAAAGCCCUUUUGCUGGGGAAGACACAAGGACGGUACCCAGCGAAUAAGCCCCGGCUAACUACGUGC
This 456-nucleotide ribosomal RNA is filed under the name uncultured bacterium. RNAcentral's name for it is "bacterial SSU rRNA". It matches the Rfam family "Bacterial small subunit ribosomal RNA", at positions 28 to 508 of the family's 1533-position model. The record is from RNAcentral.